CUACUCCCUCCGUUACUAAAUAUUUGUCUUUUUAGAGAUUUCAACUGGUAGUCCAUUUGAAAUAUCUAAAAAUACAAAUAUUUAGGAACAGAGAGAGUAGAUGUAAAUUAGACAAACUGGUAAACUAAUCUCUGUAUUUUCUGGUUUGAUAUGGCGGUGAUGAUAAACACUUUCAGCAAACAUGCCAGUUCUGCUUCUGAGAAUUCAUGACUGAAAAACCUGUUAUAUUGAUCUGAGCCAUUGCAAUUGACAAAAGCUGUGUCAUCCCAGUGGUGAUACCUGGAAAAUCAUGAUUAAUGUUUCUGUUAAACCUGUGUAUCUUCCAUGUGUUCUUGAUCUAAAUUUGGAGCUUGUAAUUCGUUCUGAAAAUUGUCUGAAAUCCCAAUGAUGCUAUGCCCAACAUUUAGAGGUGCAUAUGGCUCCAGGAUCCUGUUUACAGGAUGAACCUACCUGGAGGCGCUGUAUCCACAUGACAUCCACGGGCAAGUCUGAGGUUCUUGAUUAUCACAUCAAACUUUUCUUGCUGUUUUCAGGUUGACCUCUGUUUUUUUAACUGAUAAAACUAACAAUUUGUUUAACGUCUUUGCUGAGUUUAACUAAGCUCUGUAUUUUCUUGUAAAAUGUUAAUUUAGAUGUGAUUGAGUUUAACCAUUUCUGAGGCUGAGUUUAACUAUAUUUAAUUUUUGGUUUAAUCAGUGGGAGAUAAGAUGAUGAAUAGAUUAAUUUCCCUAUUGGUUUGAUUGGCUGAUAUGAUGGCCUCAAUACUGAACCAAAUCUGACCUCUCUCUUUUUGACAUUUUUUAUUUAAUUUCCCUAUUGGUUUAAUUUCCCGAUUUUGAUUCCUGUGGGUGAAAUGAGGAUUAAAUAAUUUUAUUGAUGGACGGUAUGAUGUCCAUUGAAUCAUGUAUUAGCUCUAUCUGAUCAUUCUCUACUGAGUUUUGUUCUUUCAUUUUUAAGUAUUUCUUUUUUGUUGUUUGAACGCCUGUUUUUGAUAAACACGAGUUUAUGGGUAAUUUGUGUCUGAGGCAUUUCUUUGAUGUCACUCUUUUCACCUUGGGAGAUCUGAUGCAUCCUGCCUCCCUCAUGUCUUUUGCGUUCUUGGUACUUUUCUUGGAAAAUAUUUUUUUUUGUUUUAAUGAGAUGAGAUGAUGAAUAAGAUUAAUUUCCCUAUUGGUUUGAUUGGCUGAUAUGAUGGCCUAAAGUACUGAACCGAAUCUGAUCAUCUUCUUGCUUCCUAGAAAAAGUUAUCUGAUUUUACUUGCCGAUUGUUUUAUUCUUUGUAGAGUAAUAUCAUCUAUUAAUUUUCUAAUUCAAUCGGUGGAAGUGAGAUGAUGAAUGAUUUAUUUCCCUAUUGGUUUGAUUGGCCAGCAUAAUGGCCUAUAUACUGAAUCUAGUCUGAUCGUCAUCACUGGUUUGAUACGAGAAAGUAAUAUAUUUUGUUUUUGAAAUAUUGGAAAUCUUCUUUGUAUAUGCUACUAAAACGAGCCUGAAUUGUUUCUUGCUGUCUCUCUUUCUUGUUCUUUUGAAAUCUUGUUUUUUCAAGUUGUUUGUUGUUCUGGGAUGAGUAUUAUUGAUGCAAAUGAUGAGACACAAGUUUUAUGGGUAAUUUGUUUCUGUGAUGUCACACCCUUUUCACCUUGGAGAUCUGAUGCAUCCUUGAUAAAGUUCACUUAUGUUGUGUUCUUACUUUGUGUUUCCUUUAUUUCUGAUGAUGUCUAGAUCGAUCUUGGGUUAUACUUGCCCCCAAAUUCCAGUUUAUCCUAUGUGCUUCUGUAGUUUGUGAUGCCUUUUUAUCUAGUUUAAUUCAAGUUCUUGUGGCACUGAUUUAAAUUUGAACCUUUGCUGGUGCAGUGAUUAUAAAACAUUCCUCGUACUGAUGGGAGAUCCCUGUGAACGACUCCUAUAUACCCAUAGAAUCUGAGCACCAACAAUAUGGUUUCAUUAGAUUCUUCCUUUUUGUGCUUAUUCGCCCUGAGAUUGUUUUGUUCUUGGACUCCAAACUAAUGUUUAAGAAUUCUGUUAUAUAUCACCACCAUACUCUGAGUCCUUAGUCUUUUUGUUUGUCUGUGCCGAGGAUUAAACUAAUCUAUAGACAAGCAUAUGUCUGAAUUCUCGUCAUGUGGAGCGAUCUAAUCUUCUCUAUGAGGCCAAUCUUUUUCAUUUCUUUAUCUGCAGUUUUAUUUGAUGUGUUCUGAUGUUGUGUGAAGCCGCUAAUGAUUAGCGUGACCUUUUCUCAAUGAAAUCACUAAUGAUUACAUAACCUACUGCCUUCCUUCUGAGGCAUCAUGAUUCCUGGAAUUCUUCUGUGUUUUUUUUCUGUUAAUUCGUUUUGGUUUGCCUGUUGAUUCAGUGGUUUGCCCAGGUCGAAUGAUGAUCACAAGUUCAUAGUUCAUAUGAUCAAAUCGUGAUUACUUGAACAAAAAAUAGUCUUUUGCUCCUAUCUGACGACCUUUCAUCCUCAUCCUUUUCAGGAGAAUCAAACAAAAGUUUUUUUUGUCUUUUUCGCAUUUACAUGUAGAACCCUACAUUAUUAUGGUGUAGAUGUAUAGAUUCCUUCGAGGAUGGUGAAGAUUGAUAUUUGGUCUCGUUUGUCGUAACUGGCAUUUAUUUGCCUUGCCGACCAUCCUGCUAUAUCACCACCCAUAUUCUGAGUCCUCUUAUUAUAUACUAUCUUGGUUUUUCAUGUUAAUUCUGUUUUGGUAUUUGGCUUAUGAUUAAACUAAACUAAAUAGAGAAUCAAUUUCUAUCUGCUCAUUAAAUAUGUUGAAUUUUUGUACAAUAAAUAUGAUCUUCCAGUGUGAUUAUCAGUUGCCACGUUCUUAGCGAGUUCCUAUUCGUUUGUUUUUGAGAUAUCUUCUGUGGUUGUUGUGAUCUGUUCACUAAUUUUCGAAGUUCAGCUUGUUGUCAGAAGGAUUAGGUUCUUCAGAUCACUUUAAACUUUGAUUGCGAAUGCACAACAGAUACUUUGAUGCUUGCAAUGUUUUUCCAAACCAAUUUGAGGAUGAUGAUUUCAUAUUUGUCGCCCCAGUCUUAGGGUCUGCAUUGGUGGAUCUGUGCUGAUUGACAUACUUCUGAAUCUGACUCGGUAGAUGGUGAUAUUAUAUUUGCGCUCUGUUAGUCAUCUUUUCUAGUUGGUUGAUUUUUCUUUGCAGACUUGUUCUUUUUCUUUGGUGAUGGCAGUGACGAUUUGCAAAUAUUCAAGCUCAACAGACCUAAUCAAAGAUUUUCUCUCCGGAGUUGAUUUGUAUGCCGAUUACCCCGCUGAACCGAGCCAUCUGAUACCUGAUUUUGUUUUUCUGUGGUUCAUUGUUCUUUUCUCUCAAUUCUCAAUGUAUCUUUUGUGUUUGAUUUUGUUUGUUUCUUUUGGGGGAUGUAGUUGCGAUGAGGAUAAUAAGCUCCCUCUUCUGAAAGCAUUGACGACAUCGCUGUAUGAAUCGAACCAAUUAAAUAUUGCCACCACUGAGCAACUCUGUAUCGUCGAACAAUCUCUCUUGGAUGUUAUUGAUCGUUUGCUUCUUCUUACCUUCCAGUUACAUUAUCUGUUUGGAUUGUUAGGAGUUAUUGAUGCAUAGUUCUACAUUUUAUCUGAGGGUGGCUUGAGUUGUGAAGCAUGGACAUGGCUGGAAGUGCCGAACUGCCGUUCUGAUACGGCAGGAUACGGGGAUACGGCGGGAUACGCCGGAAUACGCGAAAUUUGCAGUAUCCCCCGAAUUUCAAUUUUGAAAAAAGAAAAAACAUAGGGAUACGCUGGGACACGUGCGGGAUUCGUUUGGGACACGGCCGGGCCCAAAACAGCCUCGGACCAACCCAGUAUACCUAACCUAUUUGGAGGAACUCCCGCUCUCGUCUCAAGGACGAAGUGCUCCCUCCCAGCCUCCCCGCGCCGCCAGCCUCCUGGAUCGAAGCCGCCGCCGCCUUGACUCGUCGCCACCGCCGGCGGCGGCGCCUGGAUUCGACCGGCGACCGCUGGUACUACCCCCAGCCUCGCAGAUGCAGCUUGCAAUGACAACAUGACAUGGGGGGAUGAGGAUCAAUCAAUCAUCACUUGAUAAAAGAGACACCAAAUGGGGCACUAUCCUCUAUUAUGAUCUCUUUCUCAUUAAUUUUCUGUCUUAAUUGUAUAUUAUAUGGCAUAUUUUUAUUUUAUUUUAUAUAUACUCGACGUAUCCCUGAAUGGCUGUUUUUGAAAAAUGCCGUAUCCCGUA
Long non-coding RNA from Aegilops tauschii subsp. strangulata, 4205 nucleotides. RefSeq lists it as uncharacterized. NCBI's taxonomy places the organism in Eukaryota, Viridiplantae, Streptophyta, Magnoliopsida, Poales, Poaceae. The record is from RefSeq and is a predicted model, not a curated record.